AUGGAGAGCGCCGGGAUGAUGAAGAUGGCCACCGGUGAUGGAUCCCCCCUCCGGCAGGGUGCCGGAACAGGGUCCCGAUUGGUUUUUGGUGGCUACAGAGGCUUGCGGCGGCGGAACUCCCGAUCUAGGUUAUUUUCUGGAGGUUUCAGUAUUUAUAGGAAUUUUUGGCGUCUGGAACAAGUCAGGGAGGUCUCCGGGCUGUCCACGAGACAGGGGGGCGCGCCCAGGGGGUGGGCGCACCCCCCACCCUCGUGGGCAGCUCGGGACUCUUCUCGCCCAACUCUUUCACUCCAGGGGCUUAUUUUGGUCUAUAAAAAAUCAUCAAAAAUUGGCACGUCAAUUGGACUCCGUUUGGUAUUCCUUUUCUGUAAAACUAAAAAACAAGGAGAAAACAGAAACUGGCACUGA
This 408-nucleotide ribosomal RNA is filed under the name Triticum aestivum (bread wheat). RNAcentral describes it as "partial small subunit ribosomal RNA". Lineage: Eukaryota; Viridiplantae; Streptophyta; Magnoliopsida; Poales; Poaceae. The record is from RNAcentral.